This 436-nucleotide ribosomal RNA is filed under the name uncultured bacterium. Its description in RNAcentral is "bacterial SSU rRNA". It matches the Rfam family "Bacterial small subunit ribosomal RNA", at positions 954 to 1392 of the family's 1533-position model. The record is from RNAcentral.
AUGGGAACGCGAAGAACCUUACCUAGACUUGACAUCUCCUGAAUAGUGUAGAGAUACAUGAAGCCCUUCGGGGCAGGAAGACAGGUGGUGCAUGGUUGUCGUCAGCUCGUGUCGUGAGAUGUUGGGUUAAGUCCCGCAACGAGCGCAACCCUUAUUACUAGUUGCUACCAUUAAGUUGAGCACUCUAGUGAGACUGCCCGGGUUAACCGGGAGGAAGGCGGGGAUGACGUCAAAUCAUCAUGCCCCUUAUGUCUAGGGCUACACACGUGCUACAAUGGUGGGAACAAAGAGAUGCAAUACCGCAAGGUGGAGCUAAACUCAAAACCCCAUCCCAGUUCGGAUUGUAGGCUGAAACUCGCCUACAUGAAGCUGGAGUUGCUAGUAAUCGCGAAUCAGAAUGUCGCGGUGAAUACGUUCCCGGGUCUUGUACACACCG